UCGAACGAAAGGGCAUGUGUUUGGAUCGGAGAGAGAGAGGGGAGUACGGUUCGGGUUCUUAGAUUUGUUGAGUUCCGAGGAGGUUUAUUAUCGUCGGCGUCUUGAUCUUCGCUGGAGAUACCUUCAACGUUAUCACUUCCAGAUCUGCUCUCAUGCUCCUCUUCACGGCUUCUCCUGUUCGUCGCACUCCCUUCAAAAUUAUUAUCGUUAUUGUUGUUCCUCAUGGACGCUUCUCCACGGUUUGUGAUGAGCAGCUUCGGGUAUAGAUCGGCAUGGAGAAGCGUCUUCAAUUCUUGUGGAAUUCCACCUACACCAUCUUCGUUGCAUAUAAAUACAAAUUGUAUGAGAGACGAAGCCAAAUCCUUUUGUUUUUCCUAAUUCUGAACUUCUGUUCAUUCUCAUUAAAACGUUCUACCAUGGCGACUUUUCAAGUUUAUUUCUCGGAGUUCACACCAGACUACUUUAAUUUUGGGAGGCCCGUCAUGUGAAGAAACGCAGGGAGCUGAUGGGCGUUCAUAUACUGCUUAUUGAUACAAAGGGGACCCUCUUCGAAGCCUCUAUCAGUGUUCACCGCCUUAACAACGCUUAAAAGAAGGCUCCUUUUAUGAGCUGAGUGAUUUUCAUGUUGCAAGAAGCAACCCCAAAUUCAGGUUUGGUAACGCUCUCCUGUUGCGAUUAGAUUUUCGGAACAACCCGUUUAGGUUGAGCUCGCAGAACCGAGUCAACAGAUCCUGGCUGACCGGUUUAGGUUCUGCAAGCAUGACCAACUCAUGUUACUCUUCAACACCAACACUGUUUGCCAGAAUCGGAGAAAUUAGGAGUAUCAAAACGUUUUCAACAAGGAGACCCAACAACGAUGAGUAUGUCGCCGUCAGUAUCUGAAAAGGAAUGAAUAAAAUAAAGACAAACAAGAGCUUUUAGCUGAAGAGAGAGAUUACAAGCGUCGAAGAAUGUGAAACCGUGGCAAGAAGUUGAAACGAACGCCUCGACAGGUGUUGUGUGAUAUGAUUGAAGGAUUUACAGAAGAAAUUAAGCUAGCAGGAGGUAUUGGAUGUUUUGAGAAGAGAAUGUCAUUAUUCUCCUCCUCUUUUAUAGGUCGUCCAUUCUUCAACGCAACCUCCGGAAGACACUUCUACUUUCACUAGGAAACUCUUGCCAGCAACAGGUUUCAUAAAGUAAUGUGUGGUUCUGAAACUGGCUCAUCCUCGACUUCUUUCAGUGAUUUAGAUGUUCAGAAAAUUGAAUCUGUCACGCUAUCGGAGCUGAAUGCCUAUGUCGUUAAUUCUAUCCCACAGGAAACUGAAUUCCUCUGCAAAGCCAAAGUCAGUGACAUCUCCUGUACUAGUGCUAUCGAAAGCUACAGCAUGGCUUCACAUCUUUUACAUGUGCCUGGUGUAAUGACGAGAAGGCUGUUAGGGACUUAGGGUAGUACGGUGAUGUAUUCUCACAUCAAUAGCACUGAUCGUUUAUGCAUCAUAUGCGCCUCUCCUGAAAUUUACGCCUAACUAACACCUGUUAACCUAACACUUGCAACAAGUUUUUCAGCUUUAAAUAUAGGCAUCACCAAGGUGUUCCAGUGAACAACAACCGAUGCGAGUCUGGUCCAAAUGUUGAAUAUGCGGUCACUGCACCACCGCUACAAGCUCCAACUGUGGCAGACGCAAGCUCCAUGGAGGAUCGUGCUCGAACCGAAGAGAACGAAAUGCAAAGUAGGCGCGCAAGGAGUGAUCACUUAAUUUUUUGGAGAUGAUGAACCUGCUACACAUUAUGAAGUUCCACCAGCAGUUUUAACGUUUUAAAUUUUGUUGCAAUAAUUAUAUCAUCCAAUUAUCUGAAAGCACUAAUUAUUUGGAUUUAAUCUCUUCACAACAAAAUAGUGACAAGCAAAAAUACAAUCUA
Long non-coding RNA from Brassica napus (rape), 1899 nucleotides. RefSeq lists it as uncharacterized. Lineage: Eukaryota; Viridiplantae; Streptophyta; Magnoliopsida; Brassicales; Brassicaceae. The transcript has 8 exons. The record is from RefSeq and is a predicted model, not a curated record.